CAGAAUAAGCAUAUCUCAAUCAUAUUCCUUCAUUUUUUGUAGUAAUUGUAAUAAAUUUCAGUAAAUGUAUUUACCUUUUACAGUAAUUUUAAUUCUAUUCGAGCGUUUUCAAAAGUAACUAUUGUAUAACGGAAUAAUUGCACUAUACAAUGCAAUACAAGCAACGAAAAUGUGAGGUCAAACCAUGGUGUACGUGGGUCAAACCAAGUAAAAGUUUGUACGACUUGAACGAAGCACGGUUUCGAAAAUCCUACGAGCUUCGCCCUCUCGAUUUUUAGUGAAAAAAUGAAGACAAAUAUAUUCGUUCAGGAGUCAUACUGACAGAAUAGUAAUUAUUAUAAACAUUUUUACAAACAAUAUGAUUUCGGUAAUUGUAUAGCCCACUUACGGAAAUGAAGAGCUUGUCAAAGCUUGCACAAUGGGAUGGUCCAAAUGGUCAAUGUGAACUUGAGAAGAGCAGACCAGGUUAAGAUAGUCCAAUUGGCCAGGUGUUGAAAGACGUAACAAAUGAGAAUAAGAUUAUAAUAGCUGAAUGGUCAAUUUAGCAAAAAAAAAUUAGUUCAAGAGGUUCAGAAAAAAGCGUUUUUUUUAAUUGGCCAGACGGUUUCACUACUAUGAAAAGUUACCUUCAAGAUAAAAAUCAAGAGUUUCCAAUUUUGGUUCCCAAAUUUAUAAAGGAGCUUGUAUGUGCUGUGUGAUCACUGCCAAUAGUACUAGAAAAAUGUUCAAGUUUAGUUAGAAGAAAACAGUGAGAAAGAGAGUUAUACUACCAAAGAAUUUCAAAAUACAAAUGUAGGUUCUGCUAACGUCUUUGUAAAUCACAUGUAGCAUAUUUUAGAUUUCAUAACAAUAAUAAGUAAUAAUAAAUAACUAGUGUAAUUUAGAUUUUCUCAGUUUUUCUGUGCCACAUUAAAGUCAAGUUAAUUAGUUUAAAUAUACAACUUAUUCAAAGUAAUUUAUAUGAAAUUCAUAUGUCAUUCGUACAAUCAAUUUUAUA
Phymastichus coffea is the source of this 997-nucleotide long non-coding RNA. RefSeq lists it as uncharacterized. The transcript is spliced from 3 exons. NCBI's taxonomy places the organism in Eukaryota, Metazoa, Arthropoda, Insecta, Hymenoptera, Eulophidae. The record is from RefSeq and is a predicted model, not a curated record.